GAUGAACGCUAGCUACAGGCUUAACACAUGCAAGUCGAGGGGAAACGACAUUGAAGCUUGCUUCGAUGGUCGUCGACCGGCGCACGGGUGAGUAACGCGUAUCCACCCUGCCUUUGACCAAGGGAUAACCCGUCGAAAGUCGGCCUAAUACCUUAUGCAGUCGUCGGAAGUCAUCUGAUGACGACGAAAGAUUUCAUUGGCGAGAGAUGGGGAUGCUUCUGUUUAGCUUGUUGGCGGGAUAACGGCCCACCAAGGCAACGAUCAGUAGGGGUUCUGAGAGGAAGGUCCCCCACAUUGGAACUGAGACACGGUCCAAACUCCUACGGGAGGCAGCAGUGAGGAAUAUUGGUCAAUGGACGAGAGCCUGAACCAGCCAAGUAGCGUGCAGGAUGACGGCCCUAUGAGUUGUAAACUGCUUUUAUGCGGGGAUAAAGUGAGGGACGUGUCCUUCAUUGCAGGUACCGCAUGAAUAAGGACCGGCUAAUUCCGUG
This 491-nucleotide ribosomal RNA is filed under the name uncultured bacterium. RNAcentral describes it as "partial 16S ribosomal RNA". It matches the Rfam family "Bacterial small subunit ribosomal RNA", at positions 28 to 507 of the family's 1533-position model. The record is from RNAcentral.